Molecule: ribosomal RNA, 253 nt
Filed under: uncultured bacterium
Lineage: Bacteria
Description: partial 16S ribosomal RNA
Rfam family: Bacterial small subunit ribosomal RNA
Source: RNAcentral
UACAGAGGUGGCAAGCGUUGUUCGGAAUUACUGGGCGUAAAGGGCGCGUAGGCGGCUUGGUCAGUCCCGUGUGAAAUCCCUCGGCUCAACUGAGGAACUGCACGGGAAACUGCCUGGCUUGAGUUCGGGAGAGGGAAGCGGAAUUCCUGGUGUAGCGGUGAAAUGCGCAGAUAUCAGGAGGAACACCGGUGGCGAAGGCGGGUCUCUGGGCCGAUACUGACGCUGAGGAGCGAAAGCAUGGGGAGCGAACAGG